Molecule: ribosomal RNA, 245 nt
Filed under: Skeletonema costatum
Lineage: Eukaryota; Bacillariophyta; Thalassiosirophyceae; Thalassiosirales; Thalassiosiraceae
Description: partial Bacterial large subunit ribosomal RNA
Rfam family: Bacterial large subunit ribosomal RNA
Source: RNAcentral
GGAUGGGUAAUGGGGCCCCACAGGCUUACUGAUCCUAACCAAACUCCGAAUACCCGGGAGUACUAUACGGCAGACACACUGCGGAUGCUAACGUCCGUAGUGGAGAGGGAAACAACCCUGACCUCCAGCUAAGGCCCCUAAUUCAUGGCUAAGUGGGAAAGCAGGUGAGACGACCAAAACAACCAGGAGGUUGGCUUAGAAGCAGCCAUCCUUUAAAGAUAGCGUAACAGCUCACUGGUCUAAAU